This is a non-coding RNA of Phrynosoma platyrhinos (Desert horned lizard), 72 nucleotides long. The record is from the annotation of a GenBank genome assembly. Lineage: Eukaryota; Metazoa; Chordata; Lepidosauria; Squamata; Phrynosomatidae.
ACCAGAGUGGCGUAGUGGCUUGAAUGUUGGACUGUAACUCAGGAGACCAGGGUUCAAUUCUCAGCUCAGCCA